Molecule: ribosomal RNA, 637 nt
Filed under: uncultured archaeon
Lineage: Archaea
Description: bacterial SSU rRNA
Rfam family: Archaeal small subunit ribosomal RNA
Source: RNAcentral
CGAUUAGGUAGUUGGUUAGGUAACGGCUUACCAAGCCAUUGAUCGGUACGGGUUGUGAGAGCAAGAGCCCGGAGAUGGAACCUGAGACAAGGUUCCAGGCCCUACGGGGUGCAGCAGGCGCGAAACCUCCGCAAUGUGAGAAAUCGCGACGGGGGGAUCCCAAGUGCCAUUCUUAACGGGAUGGCUUUUCAUUAGUGUAAAGAGCUUUUGGAAUAAGGGCUGGGCAAGACCGGUGCCAGCCGCCGCGGUAACACCGGCAGCUCUAGUGGUAGCAGUUUUUAUUGGGCCUAAAGCGUCCGUAGCCGGUUUAAUAAGUCUCUGGUGAAAUCCUGUAGCUUAACUGUGGGAAUUGCUGGAGAUACUAUUAGACUUGAGACCGGGAGAGGUUAGAGGUACUCCCAGGGUAGAGGUGAAAUUCUGUAAUCCUGGGAGGACCGCCUGUUGCGAAGGCGUCUAACUGGAACGGUUCUGACGGUGAGGGACGAAAGUUAGGGGCGCGAACCGGAUUAGAUACCCGGGUAGUCCUAACUGUAAACGAUGCGGACUUGGUGUUGGGGUGGCUUUGAGCUGCUCCAGUGCCGAAGGGAAGCUGUUAAGUCCGCCGCCUGGGAAGUACGGUCGCAAGACUGAAACUUAA